This is a long non-coding RNA of Raphanus sativus (radish), 790 nucleotides long. RefSeq lists it as uncharacterized. The record is from RefSeq and is a predicted model, not a curated record. Lineage: Eukaryota; Viridiplantae; Streptophyta; Magnoliopsida; Brassicales; Brassicaceae. The transcript is spliced from 3 exons.
UUCAAGCUAAAGAACUUGCUAAAGAGCGUAAAAAAGCUAAGAGAUAUGCAGCUUUCUCUGCAGGGUAUAAUAUACUAUCAUUAGUUGCUUAUUGCUUCUUUUCUAUCUCUGCUAUCUAGUAUUCUCACUCACCUUAAUUCAUCAGAGGAGCGGAAACGGAGUGAAUCAUUCGAGGAGGAACUCGAGUCUCUGAGACCUCGUUGGAUAUUAGCAAAGUGCGUAGUGAAUUGGAUGCAAAAUUACUUGAACAAGACGGAAACUGAAACCUUUCCUGGAAAAGAAGAAAUGGAGCAGCCUAGAAACGGAUUUGAAGGAAACACAAAGAGGAAGGUAUAAAGCACGGCAAGAACUAAAACGACUCAAACAACACUUGCUUGCUAGAAAAGGUCAGCUAUUGUAUCAGUAGCUUCUGGAAAUUAUCUCUGUUUUCCUUGCGACACUCUUAAAAUUUGUUACGACUUCAAUCUAAAACAAAGUUUAAUUGUAUUUCUCUUUGAUAUUUUUCUGAGAAGAUUAUGGAUUUAUAUUUUAUUGUCCAUAAUUCUAAAACAUAACUCUUAAGCAGGCAAUGGCUAGUCAGGAGGAUAACAGGCUGAGUAAUGACCAAGCAAAUCCGGAAGUUAAAGGAAACAAUUGAUGACUUGAAUCAAAAGCUAACAAAUUGUUUGAGAACAAUCGAGUCCAAGAAUGUUGAACUUCUAAAUCUUCAAACCGCUCUUGGCCAGUACUAUGCCGAAAUCGAAGCUACGGUUGGUAUAAUAUGAGGAAAAUGAGAUUCUUACACGCAAUU